RNAcentral lists this ribosomal RNA (451 nucleotides) under uncultured bacterium. Its description in RNAcentral is "bacterial SSU rRNA". It matches the Rfam family "Bacterial small subunit ribosomal RNA", at positions 329 to 794 of the family's 1533-position model. The record is from RNAcentral.
GGCCAGACUCCUACGGGAGGCAGCAGUGGGGGAUAUUGGACAAUGGGGGGAACCCUGAUCCAGCGACGCCGCGUGAGUGAAGAAGUAUCUCGGUAUGUAAAGCUCUAUCAGCAGGGAAGAAAGAAAUGACGGUACCUGAGUAAGAAGCCCCGGCUAACUACGUGCCAGCAGCCGCGGUAAUACGUAGGGGGCAAGCGUUAUCCGGAUUUACUGGGUGUAAAGGGAGCGUAGACGGCGGGGCAAGUCUGGAGUGAAAGGCCGGGGCCCAACCCCGGGACCGCUCUGGAAACUGCCCGGCUGGAGUGCGGGAGAGGUAAGCGGAAUUCCUAGUGUAGCGGUGAAAUGCGUAGAUAUUAGGAGGAACACCAGCGGCGAAGGCGGCUUACUGGACCGUGACUGACGUUGAGGCUCGAAAGCGUGGGGAGCGAACAGGAUUAGAUACCCCCGUAGG